Molecule: ribosomal RNA, 97 nt
Filed under: Flagellimonas sediminis
Lineage: Bacteria; Pseudomonadati; Bacteroidota; Flavobacteriia; Flavobacteriales; Flavobacteriaceae
Description: partial 16S ribosomal RNA
Rfam family: Bacterial small subunit ribosomal RNA
Source: RNAcentral
AUACAAUGAAGAGUUUGAUCCUGGCUCAGGAUGAACGCUAGCGGCAGGCCUAACACAUGCAAGUCGAGGGGUAGGGGGUGCUUGCACCCCUGAGACC